RNAcentral lists this ribosomal RNA (289 nucleotides) under uncultured bacterium. Its description in RNAcentral is "partial 16S ribosomal RNA". It matches the Rfam family "Bacterial small subunit ribosomal RNA", at positions 29 to 334 of the family's 1533-position model. The record is from RNAcentral.
AAUGAACGCUGGUGGCAGGCUUAACACAUGCAAGUCGAGCGAGAACGGCACUUCGGUGCUUAUUAGAGCGGCAAACGGGUGAGUAACACGUGGGAAUAUACCUUUCAGCCUGGGAUAGCCAUUGGAAACGAUGAUUAAUACCGGAUACGCUCUACGGAGGAAAGAUUUAUCACUGAAAGAUUAGCCCGCGUUAGAUUAGCUUGUUGGUGAGGUAAUGGCUCACCAAGGCUACGAUCUAUAGCUGGUCUGAGAGGAUGAUCAGCCACACUGGGACUGAGAUACGGCCCAG